GCAAGUCGAGGGGUAACAUAGGAAGCUUGCUUUCUGAUGACGACCGGCGCACGGGUGCGUAACGCGUAUACAAUCUACCUUAUACUGGGGUAUAGCCUUUAGAAAUGAAGAUUAAUCCCCCAUAGUCUCUUAGAGUGGCAUCUAUUUAUGAUUAAAGGUUACGGUAUAAGAUGAGUAUGCGUUCUAUUAGUUUGUUGGUGAGGUAACGGCACACCAAGACUACGAUAGAUAGGGGCCCUGAGAGGGAGAUC
Molecule: ribosomal RNA, 251 nt
Filed under: uncultured bacterium
Lineage: Bacteria
Description: partial 16S ribosomal RNA
Rfam family: Bacterial small subunit ribosomal RNA
Source: RNAcentral